UACGAAGGUGGCAAGCGUUACUCGGAAUUACUAGGCGUAAAGGGCAGGUAGGUGGUCUGAUAAGUCUGUUGUGAAAGCUCCCGGCUUAACUGGGAGAGGUCAACAGAAACUAUCAGGCUUGAGUAUAGGAGAGGGUACUGGAAUUCCCGGUGUAGCGGUGAAAUGCGCAGAUAUCGGGAGGAACACCAAUGGCGAAAGCAGGUACCUGGACUAUUACUGACACUCAGCUGCGAAAGCUAGGGGAGCAAACAGG
This 253-nucleotide ribosomal RNA is filed under the name uncultured bacterium. Its description in RNAcentral is "partial 16S ribosomal RNA". It matches the Rfam family "Bacterial small subunit ribosomal RNA", at positions 524 to 776 of the family's 1533-position model. The record is from RNAcentral.